RNAcentral lists this ribosomal RNA (326 nucleotides) under uncultured eukaryote. RNAcentral describes it as "partial 18S ribosomal RNA". It matches the Rfam family "Eukaryotic small subunit ribosomal RNA", at positions 1470 to 1796 of the family's 1831-position model. The record is from RNAcentral.
CCCUUAGAUGUUCUGGGCCGCACGCGCGCUACACUGACGGAGUCAACGAGUUGUCCUGCAUCGGAAGGUGUGGGUAAUCUUUUGAAACUUCGUCGUGCUGGGGAUAGAUCUUUGCAAUUUUCGAUCUUGAACGAGGAAUUCCUAGUAAGCGUGAUUCAUCAGAUCGCGUUGAUUACGUCCCUGCCCUUUGUACACACCGCCCGUCGCUACUACCGAUUGAAUGGUUUAGUGAGAACUCGGGACUGGCACUAAGGGGCUGGCAACAGCCUAUUAGAGCCGGGAACUUGCUCAAACUUGAUCAUUUAGAGGAAGUAAAAGUCGUAACA